RNAcentral lists this ribosomal RNA (497 nucleotides) under uncultured bacterium. Its description in RNAcentral is "partial 16S ribosomal RNA". It matches the Rfam family "Bacterial small subunit ribosomal RNA", at positions 28 to 507 of the family's 1533-position model. The record is from RNAcentral.
GAUGAACGCUGGCGGCGUGCCUAAUACAUGCAAGUCGAGCGAACAGACGAGGAGCUUGCUCCUCUGACGUUAGCGGCGGACGGGUGAGUAACACGUGGAUAACCUACCUAUAAGACUGGGAUAACUUCGGGAAACCGGAGCUAAUACCGGAUAAUAUAUUGAACCGCAUGGUUCAAUAGUGAAAGACGGUUUUGCUGUCACUUAUAGAUGGAUCCGCGCCGCAUUAGCUAGUUGGUAAGGUAACGGCUUACCAAGGCAACGAUGCGUAGCCGACCUGAGAGGGGGAUCGGCCUCACUGGAACUGAGACACGGUCCAGACUCCUACGGGAGGCAGCAGUAGGGAAUCUUCCGCAAUGGGCGAAAGCCUGACGGAGCAACGCCGCGUGAGUGAUGAAGGUCUUCGGAUCGUAAAACUCUGUUAUUAGGGAAGAACAAAUGUGUAAGUAACUAUGCACGUCUUGACGGUACCUAAUCAGAAAGCCACGGCUAACUACGUG